Pteronotus mesoamericanus is the source of this 107-nucleotide small nuclear RNA. Lineage: Eukaryota; Metazoa; Chordata; Mammalia; Chiroptera; Mormoopidae. The record is from RefSeq and is a predicted model, not a curated record.
GUGCUUGUUUCAGCAGCACAUAUACUAAAAUUGGAACAAUACAAAGAAGAUUAGCAUGGCCCCUAGGCAAGGAUGACACACACGUUCAAGAAGCGUUCCGUAUUUUA